GGCAUCGUGGCUUAGUGGUUAGCACGCUUGCCUUAUGCCUCCAGGGUUAGGGGUUCGAAUCCCACCUCUGCCU
Non-coding RNA from Pangasianodon gigas (Mekong giant catfish), 73 nucleotides. NCBI's taxonomy places the organism in Eukaryota, Metazoa, Chordata, Actinopteri, Siluriformes, Pangasiidae. The record is from the annotation of a GenBank genome assembly.